Molecule: non-coding RNA, 226 nt
Organism: Cinara cedri
Lineage: Eukaryota; Metazoa; Arthropoda; Insecta; Hemiptera; Aphididae
Source: the annotation of a GenBank genome assembly
AAUAAAAUCAAAUUAGAGGCACAUUUUGUACGAUAUUUUCCAUUUUAGUCGAGGAAUUUGUAAAAAAAAACAAAAAAAACAGGCGCACAAUACAUACAUUUCUGAUUAGGUAUAUUUUCUAUUAUUACACGGCACGAAUAAUCUGGAAAAAACUAUACUAGUAUCUACCUGUACGUGCUACCUAUCGUGCUGUACGAUGAAUGUGAAUAACUCCUAAAAUAACUUA